This 45-nucleotide non-coding RNA is filed under the name Schistosoma mansoni. The record is from RNAcentral. Lineage: Eukaryota; Metazoa; Platyhelminthes; Trematoda; Strigeidida; Schistosomatidae.
AUUCAGCUGACGAAUCCUACAUAGGAAGAAACGCAAGUCCAGAAU